This 450-nucleotide ribosomal RNA is filed under the name uncultured bacterium. RNAcentral's name for it is "partial 16S ribosomal RNA". It matches the Rfam family "Bacterial small subunit ribosomal RNA", at positions 354 to 796 of the family's 1533-position model. The record is from RNAcentral.
GUGGGGAAUUUUGGACAAUGGGCGCAAGCCUGAUCCAGAAAUGCCGCGUGCAGGAAGAAGGCCUUCGGGUUGUAAACUGCUUUUGUACGGAACGAAACGGUCCUGGUUAAUACCUGGGGCUAAUGACGGUACCGUAAGAAUAAGCACCGGCUAACUACGUGCCAGCAGCCGCGGUAAUACGUAGGGUGCGAGCGUUAAUCGGAAUUACUGGGCGUAAAGCGGGCGCAGGCGGUGCUGGAAGACAGGCUGGAAAUCCCCGGGCUCAACCUGGGAAUUGCGCUUGUGACUGCAGUGCUGGAGUACGGCAGAGGGGGAUGGAAUUCCGCGUGUAGCAGUGAAAUGCGUAGAUAUGCGGAGGAACACCGAUGGCGAAGGCAGUCCCCUGGGCCUGUACUGACGCUCAUGCACGAAAGCGUGGGGAGCAAACAGGAUUAGAAACCCUUGUAGUCC